GGAAUCUUGCGCAAUGGGCGAAAGCCUGACGCAGCGACGCCGCGUGAGGGAUGACGGCCUUCGGGUUGUAAACCUCUUUCAGCUCCGACGAAGCGAAAGUGACGGUAGGAGCAGAAGAAGCACCGGCCAACUACGUGCCAGCAGCCGCGGUAAUACGUAGGGUGCAAGCGUUGUCCGGAAUUAUUGGGCGUAAAGAGCUCGUAGGCGGUCUGUCGCGUCGGCUGUGAAAACUUGGGGCGCAACUCCGAGCUUGCAGUCGAUACGGGCAGGCUAGAGUUCGGCAGGGGAGACUGGAAUUCCUGGUGUAGCGGUGAAAUGCGCAGAUAUCAGGAGGAACACCGGUGGCGAAGGCGGGUCUCUGGGCCGAUACUGACGCUGAGGAGCGAAAGCGUGGGGAGCGAACAGGA
RNAcentral lists this unclassified non-coding RNA (407 nucleotides) under plant metagenome. RNAcentral describes it as "partial contains 5.8S ribosomal RNA, internal transcribed spacer 2, and large subunit ribosomal RNA". It matches the Rfam family "Bacterial small subunit ribosomal RNA", at positions 358 to 777 of the family's 1533-position model. The record is from RNAcentral.